This 1117-nucleotide long non-coding RNA is filed under the name Nicotiana benthamiana. Its description in RNAcentral is "long non-coding RNA (NBEN_LNC007154)". The record is from RNAcentral. Lineage: Eukaryota; Viridiplantae; Streptophyta; Magnoliopsida; Solanales; Solanaceae.
AUCAUCCACAUAGACUGCUACAAUCACAAGGGACCCUGGUGUACCUUUGAUGAAUAGAGAAUAAUCAUUCAAAGAAUGUCUAUAGCCUCUGGAAUAUAAGGCAGAAGACAAUUUGGCAUACCAUUGUCUGGAUGCCUGUCUUAGCCCAUACAGGGAUUUGUUCAAUUUGCAAACAAGGGGAGUAGAGGCAGAGGAGGCAGAAACAGAAUCAAGAGUAGAAACCGUCAAACCUAGAGGGAGCUUCAUAUAAACCUCCUCAUCCAAAUCACCAUGUAUGAAAGCAUUAUUAACAUCCAGUUGAAAUAAAUUCCAAUGAUUUUUCACAGCCACAUCAAUAAGACACUUAAUAGUGCACAUUUUAACCAUAGGAGAAAAGGUGUCAGUGAAAUCAAUACCUUCAACCUGAGUAUCUCCUCUAAUAAGAAGUCUAGCUUUGUACCUUUCAACACAGCCAUCAGCCUUGUAUUUGAUUUUAUAAACCCAUUUACAACCAAUGGGUUUCUUACCAGGAGGAAGAGGAACAACAUCCCAAGUAAUUUUAUAAACCCAUUUACAUCCAAUGGGUUUCUUACCAGGAGGAAAAGGAACAACAUCCCAAGUAUGGUUUGUGUCCAAAGCAUCAAACUCCUUUCUCAUGGCAUCUUGCCAUACUGGAACAGAUUUAGCUUGAGAGUAAUAUAGAGGUUCAGAUUCCAAAGAAGAGGAAGAUGAAGAUCUAGAGAAGGCAGGAAGUUGACAGACAUAAUCCUUAAGAUAAGAGGGAGGAUUAUGCUGUUUUUGAGGUUUUCUGGGAGCAGGAACAGAAGGGGAAGAGGCCAAAGCAGGAGGGGAGAUAUCAGGAUUGAAAGAAGGAAUUAAAGCAGAAUCAAUAGUGUCAGGAGAAAUAUGAUGAGGUGCUUGAACAGAUGUAGGAGGAAGAGGACAGGAGAUGGGAAUGGGAGAAUCUGGAUCAUCAGAAUGUUCUACAGGUGGAACAAAAGGAAAGGAGAACAGUCCCCCCAGAAAGACACAGGUAGCCCAAAUUGGAAAAGUAAAGCUCUACAUAUUUCAAGGAGGGUUCUAUGCUUUCUUUCAACAACACCAUUCUGUUGAGGAGAAUGAGGGCAGGAGGCUUGAU